This 460-nucleotide ribosomal RNA is filed under the name uncultured bacterium. RNAcentral describes it as "partial 16S ribosomal RNA". It matches the Rfam family "Bacterial small subunit ribosomal RNA", at positions 338 to 795 of the family's 1533-position model. The record is from RNAcentral.
CCUACGGGUGGCAGCAGUGAGGAAUAUUGGUCAAUGGGCGGAAGCCUGAACCAGCCAAGUAGCGUGAAGGAUGACGGCCCUACGGGUUUUAAACUGCUUUUAUACGGGAAUAACGCGCCUUACGUGUAGGGCUUUGCAUGUACCGUAUGAAUAAGGAUCGGCUAAUUCCGUGCCAGCAGCCGCGGUAAUACGGAAGGUCCGGGCGUUAUCCGGAUUUAUUGGGUUUAAAGGGAGCGUAGGCCGUCUUACAAGUGUGCGGGGAAAUGUCCGGGCUCAACCCGUGCCGUGCAGCGCGAACUGGAGUGCUUGAGUCCGCGGAAGGCAGGUGGAAUUCGUGGUGUAGCGGUGAAAUGCUUAGAUAUGACGAAGAACCCCGAUUGCGAAGGCAGCUUGCUGCAGCGGAACUGACGCUGAGGCUCGAAAGCGCGGGUAUCGAACAGGAUUAGAUACCCGGGUAGUC